RNAcentral lists this long non-coding RNA (4295 nucleotides) under Equus caballus (horse). RNAcentral describes it as "lncRNA (ENSECAG00000046974.1)". Lineage: Eukaryota; Metazoa; Chordata; Mammalia; Perissodactyla; Equidae. The record is from RNAcentral.
GGACAAUCUGCAUACCAAUCGACUCAUCUGUGCACACAGGCUGAGAACAAUGCAGGGAGAGAUGCGGAAAGGCCUGUGCUGCGAUGACAAUGCUUCCAGUGUGCUGACCUCGUCAGCGAAGCAAACAAAAGUACAGUCUCUUUGGAGGAGACAUUAAUGAGUCAUUAAGAACGGGUACAGCUGCGUGGUGCAAGCACUUCGUUAAAAAUAUUCUUCUCAUUUUGUGUCUGUCCCGUAAUUAUAAUGGAAGUAUUGUGCAAGUCAGCCAGUCAGCGCAUGCAGAAAAAUAUUUAUGUUUUACAAUAUCUGCACGGUUUUUAAAGUGCAUUGUCAAGUGUGGCUGCUGUACCGCGUUUUGCCUGUUGUCGCCUCUUACUGACAGCCUCAGCUUUAAAACGCCCUGCACCCGCGUUAUGACAGUCACCGCUCUGUCUCCGUACGUGCCUGGUGCACAUCCCGGCCACCAGGGAAGGCGCACUGUGGAGCUCUGCCGUCUGCCCUGCUGAAUUUGGGGAAAACAAGGCUGUACGCUCCUCCAUCGCGAGGCCAUGGCUCCUGCUCCCUCCUCUCCUCAUGGUCAGGCCAGCCCGUGGGGCCCACGGCCACAGUGCCCACCCAGGCAGGAGACCCCAGAGCAGAGUAAGGAAACCCAAUGUGCCUUUGAGAGAACCGUUUAGAAACUGCCCUCAACUGUCUUUAAAGCUGGAGAAGUCCCUGAAGGUCACCCAAGGUGCUCACUGUGGGGACGAGGAGAGUGGAUCUGGGGAGGGGAGAGGCCGGCUCGGGGCUGCAUCAGGGGCCCCCAUUUAAUCCACGUGCAUGGAGCAGUUCCUGAGGAUGCUGGGGGCAGGACCACCAUCAACAGGAGCGAGCGGCUGGAGGGACGGGAGGCAGCAUUGGGGACCACACGUCCCCCAUCUGUUACAGACCCACGGGCGCUUCCAGCCCCCAAAGGACGCUGUCCUUGGUAAGUGUCUCAAAACUAAGUUUCCUUAAGAAAAGAAGUUGGGAAUGUGAGCUUCUUUCAUGACAUCGUCAGGCUCCAGGGACUGCCUGCCUUCUCACCCAGACGGAGGCAGGACUGCCCCCAGUUAGCUCUGGGCUGGUACGGGCAGGAUGGAACGCACCACCGGGCUGGGCCAGCAUCUUCGUGUCCUGCUCCCAGGAGACCCCACAUCUGUGGGUGACUCUUCAGGGCCUGCUGGUCCAACCGAGGCAGCUGGGGUGGCGCACCCUGUCAGGCCUCUUCCUUGAGCUUCCGUCCUCGGUGACCUCUGAGGAAGGUGGAAGGCGGAGGGGGAGCAGGUGGUCUGAGCAGGCAGCUUCCUGGCAGGAAGGGGGGCUGUGGAGGCCCCACCCCCUUUCUGGCACCUUCUGCCCACUCUGCCAGCGAGUCACAUCCCGGAAGGCCGUCCCUGGCCACUGUCUCAUCAUUCCUCAACGCGGACGUGGUCAGGACAAGGUGAUGGAGCCCAGGCAUUCGGACUCUGCUCGGGUGGGACUGGAGCCAGCGCCCGUGAAAGGACCCUCUGACACCGGGAAGGGUUCGGAUGCAGCCGGGCAUUAGCGGAUGGACAGGCUUCUGUUCACUUUGUUAGUGUUUCAACGACAUUGUAGGAUGUAAAAGGAAAACGCCCUUAUCUGUUAGCAAGAAAACGUUUACAGAAAUAGUGAGGCAUCUUGGACGGUGCUAGAAUGCUCGCAAGCACAGCAGAAGGGCGUUUGUGGAGAAAAACAAGACGGUGAAACGACCGGAAUUGAAACUGGGCGAUGGAGGGUGUACCCAAUUCCGCUGCUUUUGGGUCAGUUAGAAAUUCCCACAAUAAGACAUGAAGAAAAAAAUGUACACCACUCUCCCAUGGAGUCCUGGAUCUUGAAAAGGGCUUUAAAGAUAGAAGAACUUUUCAACUUAUCCCAUUUCCCACGGGGGAAACGCUCAAUUUGGGGAGGCCAGGAAGGCGCGGGCCAGGGGGAGCAGGAGGCAGGGCCGCCUGGCUCACCGGAGGCACAGGUGCUCUACCUGCCAUGACCCCGCGGUGACGUACCUGUCAACACUCUGAAGGGCUGGAGCUCAGCUUCCUGCCAGCAGUACAGCAGCAGGGCCAAGAGCGCCAGCAUUCCUCUACUUGCUGCCAUGCUCCCUCCCGCUGAAGGAGGGAGAGGAGGACCUCCUCCUGAAGGCCCCUCUGCUACCCGCCUCUGUCUCCAGGAUACUGUGGAAUGUCAGGGACCUGUGACCUCACGGCAGGAAGUGAGGGUCCUGCCCUCAGUGGGGAGAAUGGUGCCCAGGGUCUCUGACUGGGAAGGCUGGCUAGGGGGAUCCCCUCCACUUGCUCCCAUGGCCCGUUCACGUGCUUUCCUCGUCCUGCAGACCCUGAGGCCUGAAGGGGUAGGACGUUAAUCAGGACUCUGUGGAGUGGCAGAACCCAACAAAAUCUGCUCACAGGAAAAGAGAUGUAUUGGAAGGAGGCUGGAGAGCUCACUGUGUGACACGUAGCCAUCCAGGAAUGACACUACCAUCCACAGUCACCAUCCAGGAGGAAACUACCAUCCACAGUCACCAUCCAGGAAGGAAACUACCAUCCACAGUCACCAUCCAGGAAGGAAACUACCAUCCACAGUCACCAUCCAGGAAGGAAGUUACCAUCCACAGUAAUGAUCCAAGUAGUUAAACAACACCUCUGCAAUCAUCAGCCCCAGUUGGCCUGGACCUGAUCAAUAACUGUCUUUUUUCCUUUUUUUUUUUUUUGUGGUGAAGAAAAUUGGUUCUGAGCUAACAUCUGUUGCCAAUCUUCCUCUUUUUGCUUGAGGAAGAUUUUUGCUAAUCUAACAUCUGUGCCCAUCCUCCUCUACUCUGUAUGCAGCCACAACAUGGCUUGAUGAGUGGUGUGUAAGUCAGCAGAUGGCAUCUGAACCUGUGAAUACCGGGCCACUGAAGUGGAGCACAUGAACCCAACAACUAUGCCCCCAUUUUUGGGCUCGCCCCCAAUUUUCCUGUUUUUGUCUAUACUUCCAACAUAGGACCAACCAGAGAAAGUUGGAGUGCUGGUGGAAGGAAGUUCCAGGCAUUGUCUUGUAAGGGUGUGGGAAGCAAAGUUGGAGGGUUCCACCUGGGCAGGUGUGUUGUAAACAGUCACUUAAAACAACAUCAGUUUAUAAUCUUACCCGUUCUGGAGGCUGGAAGUCCAGAUUGGGUGUCACUGGGCUGAAAUCAAGCUGUCGACAGCGCUCCGUGACUCCUGCAGGCUCUAUAGGAUCUGUUCCCUUGCCUCUUCCAGCCUUUAGAGGCUACCACACUGCUUGGACGGCGGUCUCCUUCCUCCAUCUUCAAAGUCUGUCCUGUCUCUGAUUCUCUCUUCUGCCUCCCUCUGCCACUUCUGUAGGCCCUUGUCACUGCACUGCGCUCUGUGUUGGUUAAUUUUAUAUGUCAGCUUGGCUGGGCCAUGGUGCCCAGAUAUAGGGUCAAAUCUUAUUCUGGAUGUCUCUGUGAGGGUGUUUUUGAUGAGAUUAAUGUUUAAGCUGGUGGACUUUGAGCAAGGCAGAUUGCUCUCCAUAAUGUGGGUGGGCUUCAUACAAUAGGUUGAAGGCCUAAAUAGAAUAAAAAGACUGACUUCUUCCAAGGAAGAGGAACUUCUGCCCCAAGAUGGCCUUCAGACUUGAACUGCAACAUUGGCUCUUCCCUGGGUCUCCAGCCUGCCAGCCCACCGUCCAGAUUUUGCACUUGCCAGCCUCCAUAAUCACAUGAGCCAAUUCCUUAACAUAAACCUCUCUUUCUACGUGUAUACACCACUUACUGUCUCUGUUUCUCUGGAGAACCGUAACUAAUACAGGCCCACGUGAAUAAUCCAGGAUAAUCUGUCCAUCUCAAAUUCAGAUGGUUAGCAAUUUUAAUUCCAUCUGCAGCCUGUUACUCUUUGCCACAGAACUCAAAAUAUUCACAGGGGGGGCCAGCCCUGGGCCGAGUGGUGAAGUUCACACGGUCUGCUUCAGCAGCCCAGGAUCUUGCCGGUUCAGAUCCUGGGCAUAGACAUGGCACCGCUCAUCAAGCCAUGCUGAGGCAGCGUCCCACAUAACAGAACCAGAGGCACUCACAACUAAGAUAUACAAUUAUGUACUGGGGGUCUUUGGAGAGAAGAAGAAGAAAAAAUAAAAAACAAGAUUGGCAACAGAUGUUAACUCAGGUGCCAAUCUUUAAAAAAAAAUAAUAUUCACAGUUUCUGGGGAUUACUGGCCUGGAUACAUGGACAUCUUUUGGACAACAAUGUCUUUUGCCCUUUUUCCAAUUGGAUUGCUUG